Molecule: ribosomal RNA, 253 nt
Filed under: uncultured bacterium
Lineage: Bacteria
Description: partial 16S ribosomal RNA
Rfam family: Bacterial small subunit ribosomal RNA
Source: RNAcentral
UACGAAGGGGGCUAGCGUUGCUCGGAAUCACUGGGCGUAAAGCGCACGUAGGCGGAUUGCUAAGUCAGGGGUGGAAUCCUGGAGCUCAACUCCAGAACUGCCUUUGAUACUGGCGAUCUCGAGUCCGGGAGAGGUGAGUGGAACUGCGAGUGUAGAGGUGAAAUUCGUAGAUAUUCGCAAGAACACCAGUGGCGAAGGCGGCUCACUGGCCCGGUACUGACGCUGAGGUGCGAAAGCGUGGGGAGCAAACAGG